CCUACGGGGGGCAGCAGUGAGGAAUAUUGGUCAAUGGACGAGAGUCUGAACCAGCCAAGUAGCGUGCAGGAUGACGGCCCUAUGGGUUGUAAACUGCUUUUAUGCGGGGAUAAAGUGAGGGACGUGUCCUUCAUUGCAGGUACCGCAUGAAUAAGGACCGGCUAAUUCCGUGCCAGCAGCCGCGGUAAUACGGAAGGUCCGGGCGUUAUCCGGAUUUAUUGGGUUUAAAGGGAGCGUAGGCCGUGGAUUAAGCGUGUUGUGAAAUGUAGACGCUCAACGUCUGACUUGCAGCGCGAACUGGUCCACUUGAGUGUGCACAACGCAGGCGGAAUUCGUCGUGUAGCGGUGAAAUGCUUAGAUAUGACGAAGAACCCCGAUUGCGAAGGCAGCUUGCGGGGGCACGACUGACGCUGAAGCUCGAAAGUGCGGGUAUCGAACAGGAUUAGAUACCCUUGUAGUC
RNAcentral lists this ribosomal RNA (460 nucleotides) under uncultured Prevotella sp. RNAcentral's name for it is "bacterial SSU rRNA". It matches the Rfam family "Bacterial small subunit ribosomal RNA", at positions 338 to 795 of the family's 1533-position model. Lineage: Bacteria; Pseudomonadati; Bacteroidota; Bacteroidia; Bacteroidales; Prevotellaceae. The record is from RNAcentral.